CGGGGUUGAUCCUGCCGGACCCCACUGCUAUUGGGGUGGGACUAAGCCAUGCGAGUUGGUGUCUCUUAGCUAUGGUGGAGAUACGGCGGACGGCUCAGUAACACGUAGCUAACCUGCUCUUGGGACGGGGACAACCCCGGGAAACUGGGGCUGACACCCGAUAGGUGAUUAGGCCUGUAAUGGUUUCUCGCCCAAAAGAUGAUGGAACCAUGCUUCUGUCGUCGCCCGAGAAUGGGGCUGCGGCCGAUCAGGUAGUUGGUGAGGUAACGGCUCACCAAGCCUAUAACCGGUACGGGCCGUGAGAGCGGUAGCCCGGAGAUGGGCACUGAGACAAGGGUCCAGGCCCUACGGGGCGCAGCAGGCGCGAAAACUCCGCAAUGCGCGAAAGCGUGACGGGGCUACCCCGAGUGCUGUCCGCUGAGGAUAGCUUUUCUUCGGUUUAAGGAGCCGGAGGAAUAAGGGGAGGGCAAGCCUGGUGUCAGCCGCCGCGGUAAUACCAGCUCCCCGAGUGGUGAGGAUAAUUAUUGGGCCUAAAGCGUCCGUAGCUGGCUUAGCAAGUCUUUUGUUAAAUCCGACGAUCCCAUCGUCGGACUGCAGGAGAUACUGCUAGGCUAGGGGGCGGAAGAAGUCGACGGUACUCCUGAGGUAGGGGUGAAAUCCUAUAAUCUUAGGAGGACCACCAGUGGCGAAGGCGGUCGGCUAGAACGCGCUCGACGGUGAGGGACGAAAGCUGGGGGAGCGAUCCGGAUUAGAUACCCGGGUAGUCCCAGCUGUAAACUAUGCAGGCUAGGUGUUGGCGUGACCACGAGUCACGCCAGUGCCGCAGGGAAGCUGUUAAGCCUGCCGCCUGGGGAGUACGGUCGCAAGACUGAAACUUAAAGGAAUUGGCGGGGGGGCACCACAAGGGGUGAAGCUUGCGGUUCAAUUGGAGUCAACGCCGGGA
Molecule: ribosomal RNA, 943 nt
Filed under: uncultured archaeon
Lineage: Archaea
Description: bacterial SSU rRNA
Rfam family: Archaeal small subunit ribosomal RNA
Source: RNAcentral